RNAcentral lists this ribosomal RNA (482 nucleotides) under uncultured bacterium. RNAcentral describes it as "partial 16S ribosomal RNA". It matches the Rfam family "Bacterial small subunit ribosomal RNA", at positions 28 to 507 of the family's 1533-position model. The record is from RNAcentral.
GAUGAACGCUAGCGGCAGGCCUAAUACAUGCAGGUCGGACGGGAUUCAGGAGCUUGCUUCUGAUGAGAGUGGCGCACGGGUGCGUAACACGUAUGUAACCUACCUUUAUCAGGGGGAUAGCCUCUCGAAAGAGAGAUUAAGCCCGCAUAAAAUCACAGCACAGCAUUGUGUAAUGAUCAAAUAUUUAUAGGAUAAAGAUGGGCAUGCGGAACAUUAGCUAGAUGGCGGGGUAACGGCCCACCAUGGCGACGAUGUUUAGGGGAUCUGAGAGGAUGGCCCCCCACACGGGUACUGAGACACGGACCAGACUCCUACGGGAGGCAGCAGUAAGGAAUAUUGGUCAAUGGGCGGAAGCCUGAACCAGCCAUGCCGCGUGCAGGAAGACGGCCCUACGGGUUGUAAACUGCUUUUAUACGGGAAUAAACCCAGAUACGUGUAUCUGGCUGAAUGUACUGUAAGAAUAAGGAUCGGCUAACUCCGUG